RNAcentral lists this ribosomal RNA (253 nucleotides) under uncultured Eubacteriales bacterium. RNAcentral's name for it is "uncultured Clostridiales bacterium partial 16S ribosomal RNA". It matches the Rfam family "Bacterial small subunit ribosomal RNA", at positions 524 to 776 of the family's 1533-position model. The record is from RNAcentral. Lineage: Bacteria; Bacillati; Bacillota; Clostridia; Eubacteriales.
UACGUAGGGGGCAAGCGUUAUCCGGAUUUACUGGGUGUAAAGGGAGCGUAGACGGCGAUGCAAGCCAGAUGUGAAAGCCCGCGGCUCAACUGCGGUAGUGCAUUUGGAACUGUAUGGCUGGAGUGCAGGAGAGGCAGGCGGAAUUCCUAGUGUAGCGGUGAAAUGCUUAGAUAUAACUUAGAACCCCGAUAGCGAAGGCAGCUUACCAGACUGUUACUGACGCUGAAGCACGAGAGCGUGGGUAGCGAACAGG